UACGGAGGAUGCGAGCGUUAUCCGGAUUUAUUGGGUUUAAAGGGUGCGUAGGCGGGCUGUUAAGCCGGCGGUAAAAAUUCAGGGCUCAACCCUGUCGAGCCGUCGGAACUGGCAGUCUUGAGUGGGCGAGAAGUAUGCGGAAUGCGCAGUGUAGCGGUGAAAUGCAUAGAUAUCACGAAGAACUCCGAUUGCGAAGGCAGCUUACCAGUCUGCGACUGACGCUCAGGCACGAAAGUGUGGGUAUCGAACAGG
Molecule: ribosomal RNA, 252 nt
Filed under: uncultured bacterium
Lineage: Bacteria
Description: partial 16S ribosomal RNA
Rfam family: Bacterial small subunit ribosomal RNA
Source: RNAcentral